Molecule: transfer RNA, 71 nt
Filed under: Sarcophilus harrisii (Tasmanian devil)
Lineage: Eukaryota; Metazoa; Chordata; Mammalia; Dasyuromorphia; Dasyuridae
Rfam family: tRNA
About the family: Transfer RNA (tRNA) molecules are approximately 80 nucleotides in length.
Source: Rfam by way of RNAcentral
AGGUGGGUGGUUCAGUGGAUAGAACAUUAGGUUUAGAAUCAGGAAGAUAAGUUCUAAUCUUGUCUCAUAUG